RNAcentral lists this unclassified non-coding RNA (334 nucleotides) under soil metagenome. RNAcentral describes it as "partial contains 5.8S ribosomal RNA, internal transcribed spacer 2, and large subunit ribosomal RNA". The stretch from base 1 to 120 matches the Rfam family "5.8S ribosomal RNA", at positions 35 to 154 of the family's 154-position model. The record is from RNAcentral.
GAUGAAGAACGUAGCGAAAUGCGAUACGUAAUGUGAAUUGCAGAAUUCAGUGAAUCAUCGAAUCUUUGAACGCACAUUGCGCCUGCCAGCACUCUGGCAGGCAUGCCUGUUCGAGCGUCAUUUCAACCAUCAAGCCCUAGGCUUGCGUUGGAGCCCUGCGGCUGCCGCAGGCCCCUAAAAGCAGUGGCGGGCUCGCUAUCACACCGAGUGCAGUAGAUUACUCUUCGCUCAGGGCGUGUGGCGGGUUCCAGCCGUGAAACCCCCUACUUCUCAAGGUUGAACUCGGAUCAGGUAGGAAUACCCGCUGAACUUAAGCAUAUCAAUAAGCGGAGGA